GACGAACGCUGGCGGCGUGCCUAAUACAUGCAAGUCGAACGAACCGCGACUAGGUGCUUGCACUUGGUCAAGGUGAGUGGCGAACGGGUGAGUAACACGUGGGUAACCUACCUCAUAGUGGGGGAUAACAGUCGGAAACGACUGCUAAUACCGCAUAGGACAUAGGAUCACAUGAUUCUGUGAGGAAAGGUGGCGCAAGCUAUCGCUAAGAGAUGGACCCGCUGUGCAUUAGCUAGUUGGUAGGGUAAAGGCCUACCAAGGCGAUGAUGCAUAGCCGACCUGAGAGGGUGAUCGGCCACAUUGGGACUGAGACACGGCCCAAACUCCUACGGGAGGCAGCAGUAGGGAAUCUUCCGCAAUGGACGCAAGUCUGACGGAGCAACGCCGCGUGAGUGAAGAAGGUCUUCGGAUCGUAAAGCUCUGUUGUUAGAGAAGAACAGCGCAUAGAGUAACUGUUAUGCGUGUGACGGUAUCUAACCAGAAAGCCACGGCUAACUACGUG
Molecule: ribosomal RNA, 502 nt
Filed under: uncultured bacterium
Lineage: Bacteria
Description: partial 16S ribosomal RNA
Rfam family: Bacterial small subunit ribosomal RNA
Source: RNAcentral